Long non-coding RNA from Cygnus olor (mute swan), 901 nucleotides. RefSeq lists it as uncharacterized. NCBI's taxonomy places the organism in Eukaryota, Metazoa, Chordata, Aves, Anseriformes, Anatidae. The record is from RefSeq and is a predicted model, not a curated record. The transcript is spliced from 2 exons.
GGGUGGCGAAUGGGGCGGGGUGGGGGGAGCCUGGUGGGCAGGGGGGGGUCCCGUGGGGCAGUGAGGGAGCCUGCCCCUGCCUCGCCCCAUGGGCAUGGACUGGGACCGGGGUGAGACCAGGCACGGGGGUGGGACACCCGUGGGUGCUGGCGGGACCCCUGUGGGGUGAUGGGGGGACACCCAUAGGAGCUGGUGGGACCCUGUAGGGUGAUGCGGGGACACCCAUGGGGUGAUGGAGGGACACCUGUGGGGUGAUGGAGGGACCCCUGUGGGGUGAUCGACGGACACCCAUGGAUGCUGGUGGGACACCCAUGGGUGCUAAUGGGACCCUCAUGGGAGCUGGUGAGACACCUGUGGGUGCUGGUGGGACACCUGUAGGGUGAUGGAGGGAUCCCCGUGGGUGCUGGUGGGACCCCCGUGGGAGCCGCUAGACGUGUGCUGACCUAGCUGCUGGUCCUCUGGCACCACAGGGGCUUCCUGGGGCUCUCGGUGCUCUGGUUAAGAAUCCCUGGGGGGCUCAGCACUGCCCUCCACCUCCAGAGAGGCCCCCAAAGCCGAAAUCACUCCGGCUCAUCCCUGUAGCCCAGCACUGAUCCCCCCCAUGAGGCUCCCCUGGGAUCCCACAGGGUCUGGUGCACUCCCCUCACCUCUGGGCACCUGUCCUGACCUCGCUGUGCAGAGCCCAGCCCGGGAAGCUCCCCAGCUCCCCUGCAGCACCCCGGGGCUCACCGCCGGCGCCUUUUGCCUUCCCUCUCGGUGAACCCCGCCGCUCGUUGGCUCCAGCCCUUUUGGCAGGCAACCACCUUCUGUGUACUUAAAAAAUGUUUGAACGUUAGUUCGAAUGUAAGUUUUCAUGCCUUUAGCAAGUCGCUCCUCAAAAAAAAAAAAAGUUUUGGCUCGC